This 48-nucleotide transfer RNA is filed under the name Mielichhoferia megalocarpum. Its description in RNAcentral is "partial tRNA-Phe". The record is from RNAcentral. Lineage: Eukaryota; Viridiplantae; Streptophyta; Bryopsida; Bryales; Mniaceae.
CCGGAAUAGCUCAGUUGGUAGAGCAGAGGACUGAAAAUCCUCGUGUCG